AGAUUGAACGCUGGCGGCAUGGCUAAAACAUGCAAGUCGAACGCGAAAGUGGAGCUUGCUCCACGAGUAGAGUGNCGAAAGGGCGAGUAAUGCGUUUCUAACGUACCCCAGGGUCAGGGAUAGCUCACCGAAGGGUGAAUUAAUACCUGAUAAUCCCAUCUGCCUCCUGGCAUGAUGGGCAAAGGCUUGCUGCCCUGGGAGCGGGGAACGUGCUAUCAGGUUGUUGGUGAGGUAAAAGCUCACCAAGCCUAAGAUGGCUAGCGGGUGUGAGAGCACGGCCCGCCGCAUCGGGACUGAGACACUGCCCGGACUCCUACGGGAGGCUGCAGUAACGAAUAUUCCGCAAUGCGCGAAAGCGUGACGGAGCAAUGCCGCGUGCAGGAUGAAGCCUCUCGGGGUGUAAACUGCUGUCAGGGGUCAGAAACACAAUGAUCAACCCCAAAGGAAGAGCCGGCUAACUCUGUGCCAGCAGCCGCGGUAAUACAGAGGGCUCGAGCGUUAAUCGGUAUCACUGGGCUUAAAGGGUGCGUAGGCGGGCCUGCAAGUGCUUUGUGAAAUCCCACGGCUCAACCGUGGAAUGGCUUGGCAGACUGCAGGUCUUGAGGUUGGUAGGGGCUGUCGGAACUCUAGGUGUAGCGGUGAAAUGCGUAGAUAUCUAGAGGAACACCAAAGGUGAAGACAGGCAGCUGGGCCAAUCCUGACGCUGAGGCACGAAAGCGUGGGUAGCGAACGGGAUUAGAUACCCCGGUAGUCCACGCCCUAAACGAUGUGUACUAGAUUGCGGAGGUUUUGACACCAUCGUGGUCGAAGCAAAAGUGUAAGUACACCGCCUGGGGAGUACGGUCGCAAGAUUA
This 854-nucleotide ribosomal RNA is filed under the name uncultured bacterium. RNAcentral's name for it is "bacterial SSU rRNA". It matches the Rfam family "Bacterial small subunit ribosomal RNA", at positions 26 to 896 of the family's 1533-position model. The record is from RNAcentral.